Oncorhynchus nerka (sockeye salmon) is the source of this 659-nucleotide long non-coding RNA. RefSeq lists it as uncharacterized. The transcript has 3 exons. NCBI's taxonomy places the organism in Eukaryota, Metazoa, Chordata, Actinopteri, Salmoniformes, Salmonidae. The record is from RefSeq and is a predicted model, not a curated record.
AUUCAUAUUGAAUCAAUUUGGACUGUCUGACUUUGGUUUACCUAUUGCCUUGCAGUGCCUGGCAGCACUGUGUUCCUGUUAGAGCCACCAGCACAAGCACCAGACGAUGCUGAUCCAGGUGAAGGCCCCAGUGCAGCAGCAACAGCACAUGAUGGAGACGAUGAUGAGGAGGAGACCAUCUCUCUGGAUUCCAGAAGGCAUGAGGUAUCAUGUUAAGACUGUGAAAGUACUAUUUACUCUACAAUGGUGAGGAGUCCUCAUCAAAAUCAAAAAAUCUCAUUUCUUUUACAGGACCCAGAUGCUAUACAGUGGGAAAACCAGCCUGGCAACAUAGUGCGUAUUAAUAAAAGGACACCACAUCCUGCCAAAUUCCAGCUGCGCUAAUUGUAUUGUGUUCACAGAGCUCACAAGCUAUCAGAAAGUUGUAUGGCAACCACCUCCGGCGCCAAAUAGAACUGGCAGACAUAGACAUUCAGUACAAGAAGAAAAAGAUGGAAAAUCUUGCACUGGAGUCCGAAAUAAAAAAGAGGACAAUUAGGAAACUGGACCUUGAAAUAAAAAACUUGAGAGGGAGCUCCAAGAAGAUGACACAGCUCAAAAUAAAAAUUAGGUAUAUUCUCGUAAAGUCAAGUGAGCCAUGACAUAUGAGCUCUUAUUGU